This 253-nucleotide ribosomal RNA is filed under the name uncultured bacterium. RNAcentral describes it as "partial 16S ribosomal RNA". It matches the Rfam family "Bacterial small subunit ribosomal RNA", at positions 524 to 776 of the family's 1533-position model. The record is from RNAcentral.
UACGUAGGCAGCGAGCGUUGUUCGGAGUUACUGGGCGUAAAGGGUGCGUAGGCGGUCUGCUAAGUUUGAUGUGAAAUCCCGGGGCUCAAUCCUGGAAUGGCAUUGAAUACUGGCGGACUAGAGUACCGGAGAGGAAACUGGAAUUUACGGUGUAGCAGUGAAAUGCGUAGAGACCGUAAGGAAGACCAGUGGCGAAGGCGAGUUUCUGGACGGUAACUGACGCUGAGGCACGAAGGCCAGGGGAGCAAACGGG